CGGGAAACUGGGGAUAAUACCCCAUAGACUAUUGAUGCUGGAAUGCUCUGUAGCCGAAAGGUCCGCCGCCACAGGAUGAGUCUGCGGCCGAUUAGGUUGUUGUUUGGGUAACGGCCCAACAAGCCUGUAAUCGGUACGGGUUGUGGGAGCAAGAGCCCGGAGAUGGAUUCUGAGACACGAAUCCAGGCCCUACGGGGCGCAGCAGGCGCGAAAACUUUGCAAUGCGGGAAACCGUGACAAGGGAACUCCGAGGGCCCGUAAAUGCGGGCUGUCCGCCAGUUUAAACAACUGGGGAAGAAAGGGCCGGGCAAGACCGGUGCCAGCCGCCGCGGUAACA
Molecule: ribosomal RNA, 337 nt
Filed under: uncultured archaeon
Lineage: Archaea
Description: partial 16S ribosomal RNA
Rfam family: Archaeal small subunit ribosomal RNA
Source: RNAcentral